This 369-nucleotide long non-coding RNA is filed under the name Pogona vitticeps (central bearded dragon). RNAcentral's name for it is "lncRNA (ENSPVIG00000001546.1)". The record is from RNAcentral. Lineage: Eukaryota; Metazoa; Chordata; Lepidosauria; Squamata; Agamidae.
AUUAGAACCAAUGAUGGUGAUGAUGACUGGCCAAUUUUAGGACUAUUGAUUAUCCUGAGAAUUUCUUCUUUUGGAGAAGAUGCUUCCCUUUGGCUUUCAGAUGCAAUGCUACAGAGUCCCAAUAGAUGAAAGUUUCCUUCAGAGACCAGAUAUCAUCACCUGCAAGGCUCACAACCAGCCACCCAGCAGUGGUAAAGCUCACCAGUGUCACCUGAGCAGAAGGCACCUAUAAGGCCUACAGACACAGUGCUUGAUGCUAUGCAGCUGGUGAGUGAGGACCACUGCACAACUGGCUGUUGGUGCUGUGUGCCUACCAGCAAACUCUCAGGGUAGUCCCUGCACAUGGACACAGCUGUGGCUUAAGGAUGA